This 253-nucleotide ribosomal RNA is filed under the name uncultured bacterium. RNAcentral describes it as "partial 16S ribosomal RNA". It matches the Rfam family "Bacterial small subunit ribosomal RNA", at positions 524 to 776 of the family's 1533-position model. The record is from RNAcentral.
UACGAAGGGGGCUAGCGUUGUCCGGAAUUACUGGGCGUAAAGGGCGCGUAGGCGGCGUGUCAAGUCAGGCGUGAAAGCCCCGGGCUCAACCUGGGAACCGCGCUUGAGACUGGCAUGCUCGAGUUCGGGAGAGGAUGGUGGAAUUCCCAGUGUAGAGGUGAAAUUCGUAGAUAUUGGGAAGAACACCGAUGGCGAAGGCAGCCAUCUGGACCGACACUGACGCUGAGGCGCGAAAGCGUGGGGAGCAAACAGG